Molecule: long non-coding RNA, 236 nt
Organism: Oncorhynchus masou masou (cherry salmon)
Lineage: Eukaryota; Metazoa; Chordata; Actinopteri; Salmoniformes; Salmonidae
Exons: 3
Source: RefSeq, a predicted model, not a curated record
AAGGAGGAGCAAAGACCCUGAUGAACACCAUCAUGCAGCUGAAGAAGAUCUGCAACCACCCCUACAUGUUCCCACACAUUGAGGAGUCCUUUGCUGAGCACUUAGGCUUCCCGAACGGCGUUAUAAGCGGACACGAGCUGUACCGUGCAUCGGGGAAGUUUGAGCUGCUGGACGGGAUCCUUCCCAAGCUGCAUGUCACCAACCACAGAGUUCUGCUGUUCUGUCAGAUGACAUCA